This 21-nucleotide microRNA is filed under the name Homo sapiens (human). RNAcentral's name for it is "hsa-miR-6809-3p". The record is from miRBase by way of RNAcentral. Lineage: Eukaryota; Metazoa; Chordata; Mammalia; Primates; Hominidae.
CUUCUCUUCUCUCCUUCCCAG